Molecule: ribosomal RNA, 468 nt
Filed under: Cladosporium uredinicola
Lineage: Eukaryota; Fungi; Ascomycota; Dothideomycetes; Cladosporiales; Cladosporiaceae
Description: eukaryotic LSU rRNA
Rfam family: 5.8S ribosomal RNA (bases 120-273)
Source: RNAcentral
CCUUUGUUGUCCGACUCUGUUGCCUCCGGGGCGACCCUGCCUUCGGGCGGGGGCUCCGGGUGGACACUUCAAACUCUUGCGUAACUUUGCAGUCUGAGUAAACUUAAUUAAUAAAUUAAAACUUUUAACAACGGAUCUCUUGGUUCUGGCAUCGAUGAAGAACGCAGCGAAAUGCGAUAAGUAAUGUGAAUUGCAGAAUUCAGUGAAUCAUCGAAUCUUUGAACGCACAUUGCGCCCCCUGGUAUUCCGGGGGGCAUGCCUGUUCGAGCGUCAUUUCACCACUCAAGCCUCGCUUGGUAUUGGGCAACGCGGUCCGCCGCGUGCCUCAAAUCGACCGGCUGGGUCUUCUGUCCCCUAAGCGUUGUGGAAACUAUUCGCUAAAGGGUGUUCGGGAGGCUACGCCGUAAAACAACCCCAUUUCUAAGGUUGACCUCGGAUCAGGUAGGGAUACCCGCUGAACUUAAGCAU